Molecule: ribosomal RNA, 636 nt
Filed under: Nebria pseudorestias
Lineage: Eukaryota; Metazoa; Arthropoda; Insecta; Coleoptera; Carabidae
Description: partial large subunit ribosomal RNA
Rfam family: Bacterial large subunit ribosomal RNA
Source: RNAcentral
GUCCUUUAGAAUUUAAUUUAAGGUCUAACCUGCCCACUGAUUUAUUUUAAAUGGCCGCAGUAAUUUGACUGUGCAAAGGUAGCAUAAUCAUUAGUUUUUUAAUUAAAAGCUUGUAUGAAGGGUUGGACGAGGUAAAAUCUGUCUCUAGAUAAUUUAAUAUAGAAUUUAACUUUUAAGUCAAAAGGCUUAAAUGUAAUUAAAAGACGAGAAGACCCUAUAGAUCUUUAUAAUUUAUUUAUUAAAUUUAAUUAAGAAUUUUUUAAAUUUUAUUAAUAUAAUUAUUUUAUUGGGGUAAUAUAAAGAUUAAAUAAAUUCUUUAUUUUUAUUUACAUUAAUUUAUGAUUUUAUGAUCCAAUUUUAUUGAUUAUAAGAUUAAGUUACCUUAGGGAUAACAGCGUAAUUUUUUUAAAGAGUUCUUAUCGAUAAAAAAGUUUGCGACCUCGAUGUUGGAUUAAAGAUUAUUUCAGGUGCAGAAGUUUGAAAAUUUUGGUCUGUUCGACCAUUAAAUCUUUACAUGAUCUGAGUUCAGACCGGCGUAAGCCAGGUCGGUUUCUAUCUUUAAUAAAUUAAAAUAUUUUAGUACGAAAGGACCAAUUAUUUAAUAAAAUAGUUAUUUUAAUUUUUGAUUAUUAUUAA